This 1976-nucleotide ribosomal RNA is filed under the name human gut metagenome. RNAcentral describes it as "bacterial LSU rRNA". It matches the Rfam family "Bacterial large subunit ribosomal RNA", at positions 1 to 1999 of the family's 2925-position model. The record is from RNAcentral.
GAAAGUAAGCAAGGGCAGACGGUGGAUGCCUUGGCUCUCGGAGGCGAUGAAGGACGUGAUAAGCUGCGAAAAGCCCGGGGGAGGCGCAAAUAGCCCUUGAUCCCGGGAUAUCCGAAUGGGGCAACCCGGCAGGCUGAAGGCCUGUCAUCCCGAAAGGGAGGCGAACGUGGGGAACUGAAACAUCUAAGUACCCAUAGGAGGAGAAAAUAAACAAUGAUUCCGUAAGUAGUGGCGAGCGAACACGGAAGAGCCCAAACCCAUGUCGUCUAGGCGACACGGGGGUUGUAGGACCACGACGUGGCAAGAUAGAGUCAAGUGGAACGCCUUGGAAAAGGCGGUCAUAGAGGGUGAAAACCCCGUACACGACUGACGAUUGAAGCCUAGUGGCAUCCUGAGUAGCGCGGGGCACGAGAAAUCUUGCGUGAAUUAGCGGGGCCCAUCCCGUAAGGCUAAAUACUCCCGAGAGACCGAUAGCGAACCAGUACCGUGAGGGAAAGGUGAAAAGAACCCCGAGCAGGGGAGUGAAAUAGACCCUGAACCCGUCUGCCUACAAGCGGUCGGAGCGUCGUAAUGACGUGACGGCGUGCCUUUUGCAUAAUGAACCUACGAGUUACCUUCCCCGGCAAGGUUAAGUACCUAAGGUACGGAGCCGAAGCGAAAGCGAGUCUGAACAGGGCGGCCAGUCGGGGGGGGUAGACGCGAAACCGAGUGAUCUACCCUUGGCCAGGUUGAAGGUUGGGUAACACCAACUGGAGGACCGGAUGGGUAAGCGUUGAAAAGCUUUCCAAUGAGCUGAGGGUAGGGGUGAAAGGCUAAUCAAACUCGGAGAUAGCUCGUACUCCCCGAAAUGCAUUUAGGUGCAGCCUCUUUAUAGUAUAUCGUGAGGUAGAGCGACUGAUUGGAUGCGAGGGCUUCACCGCCUAUCAAGUCCAGAUAAACUCCGAAUGCGCGAUAUAUAUUUAAAGGGAGUGAGGGCGCGGGUGCUAAGGUCCGUGUCCGAGAGGAGAAGAAUCCAGACCACCGGCUAAGGCCCCCAAAUGAUCGUUAAGUUGAACUAACGAGGUCGGAUCGCAGAGACAGCUAGGAUGUUGGCUUGGAAGCAGCCAUUCAUUUAAAGAGUGCGUAACAGCUCACUAGUCGAGCGAUCUGGCGUGGAUAAUAAUCGGGCAUAAACGAUCUGCCGAAGCCGUGGAUGUCGCAAGACAUGGUAGGGGAGCAUUCCAUGCCGCGUCGAAGAUGAGGGAUGACCCUUGUUGGAGCGCAUGGAAAAGCAAAUGUAGGUAUGAGUAACGAUAAGGGGGGCGAGAAACCCCCCCGCCGAAAGACCAAGGUUUCCUGAUCAACGCUAAUCGGAUCAGGGUGAGUCGGGACCUAAGGCAAAGCCGAACGGCGCCGCCGAUGGAAGAAUGGGUUAAUAUUCCCAUACUGCCUCAUGGAGUGACGUGGAGACGGAGAAGUGACAGUCCUGCCGGCUGACGGAAUAGCCGGUUGAAGGGUGUAGAUAUUGAUUCCCGUAGGCAAAUCCGCGGGGAGAGUCGAACCUGAGAGUAUACGGAGCGCUUGCGCAACGUAAUAUGGACGUAACCAUGCUCCCGAGAAAAUCCGCUAAACUUAUCCAUGCGGCACCCGUACCGUAAACGGACACACGUGGUCGGGUUGAGAAUACUGAGGCGCUCGAGUGAUUCACGGUUAAGGAACUAGGCAAAUUGACCCUGUAACUUCGGGAUAAAGGGUCCUCGUCGUAAGGCGAGGCGCAGAGAAUAGGUCCAGGCAACUGUUUAACAAAAACACAUGGCUGUGCUAAAUGGAAACAUGAUGUAUACAGCCUGACACCUGCCCGGUGCCGGAAGGUUAAGAGGAGAUGUCAUCCGCGAGGAGAAGCGUUGAAUUGAAGCCCCGGUAAACGGCGGCCGUAACUAUAACGGUCCUAAGGUAGCGAAAUUCCUUGUCGGGUAAGUUCCGACCUGCACGAAUGG